Molecule: ribosomal RNA, 772 nt
Filed under: uncultured bacterium
Lineage: Bacteria
Description: bacterial SSU rRNA
Rfam family: Bacterial small subunit ribosomal RNA
Source: RNAcentral
AGGGUUUGAUCCUGGCUCAGAUUGAACGCUGGCGGCAGGCCUAACACAUGCAAGUCGAACGGUAACAUUUCUAGCUUGCUAGAAGAUGACGAGUGGCGGACGGGUGAGUAAUACUUAGGAACAUGCCUUUGGGUGGGGGAUAACCAUUGGAAACGAUGGCUAAUACCGCAUAACGUCUACGGACCAAAGGGGGCUUCGGCUCCCGCCUAAAGAGUGGCCUAAGCGAGAUUAGCUUGUUGGUGAGGUAAAAGCCCACCAAGGCGACGAUCUCUAGCUGUUCUGAGAGGAAGAUCAGCCACACUGGGACUGAGACACGGCCCAGACUCCUACGGGAGGCAGCAGUAGGGAAUAUUGCACAAUGGGGGAAACCCUGAUGCAGCCAUGCCGCGUGUGUGAAGAAGGCCUUCGGGUUGUAAAGCACUUUCAGUUGUGAGGAAAAGUUGGUGGUUAAUACCCAUCAGCCGUGACGUUAACAACAGAAGAAGCACCGGCUAACUCCGUGCCAGCAGCCGCGGUAAUACGGAGGGUGCGAGCGUUAAUCGGAAUUACUGGGCGUAAAGCGCACGCAGGCGGUUUGUUAAGCUAGAUGUGAAAGCCCCGCGCUCAACGUGGGAGGGUCAUUUAGAACUGGCAGACUAGAGUCUUGGAGAGGGGAGUGGAAUUCCAGGUGUAGCGGUGAAAUGCGUAGAGAUCUGGAGGAACAUCAGUGGCGAANGCGACUCCCUGGCCAAAGACUGACGCUCAUGUGCGAAAGUGUGGGUAGCGAACAGGA